GGCGUCGUACCCAAGUGGUUAAGGGGGAGGUCUGCAAAAUCUCUAUACAGCGGUUCAAAUCCGCUCGACGCCU
Molecule: transfer RNA, 73 nt
Filed under: Spirochaetia bacterium
Lineage: Bacteria; Pseudomonadati; Spirochaetota; Spirochaetia
Description: tRNA-Cys
Rfam family: tRNA
About the family: Transfer RNA (tRNA) molecules are approximately 80 nucleotides in length. Their secondary structure includes four short double-helical elements and three loops (D, anti-codon, and T loops). Further hydrogen bonds mediate the characteristic L-shaped molecular structure. tRNAs have two regions of fundamental functional importance: the anti-codon, which is responsible for specific mRNA codon recognition, and the 3' end, to which the tRNAs corresponding amino acid is attached (by aminoacyl-tRNA synthetases). tRNAs cope with the degeneracy of the genetic code in two manners: having more than one tRNA (with a specific anti-codon) for a particular amino acid; and 'wobble' base-pairing, i.e. permitting non-standard base-pairing at the 3rd anti-codon position.
Source: RNAcentral